GACGAACGCUGGCGGCGUGCUUAACACAUGCAAGUCGAACGGAAAGGCCCUGCUUUUGUGGGGUGCUCGAGUGACGAACGGGUGAGUAACACGUGAGUAACCUGCCCUUGACUUUGGGAUAACUUCAGGAAACUGGGGCUAAUACCGGAUAGGAGCUCCUGCUGCAUGGUGGGGGUUGGAAAGUUUCGGCGGUUGGGGAUGGACUCGCGGCUUAUCAGCUUGUUGGUGGGGUAGUGGCUUUCCAAGGCUUUGACGGGUAGCCGGCCUGAGAGGGUGACCGGCCACAUUGGGACUGAGAUACGGCCCAGACUCCUACGGGAGGCAGCAGUGGGGAAUAUUGCACAAUGGGCGGAAGCCUGAUGCAGCAACGCCGCGUGCGGGAUGACGGCCUUCGGGUUGUAAACCGCUUUCGCCUGUGACGAAGCGUGAGUGACGGUAAUGGGUAAAGAAGCACCGGCUAACUACGUG
This 468-nucleotide ribosomal RNA is filed under the name uncultured bacterium. RNAcentral's name for it is "partial 16S ribosomal RNA". It matches the Rfam family "Bacterial small subunit ribosomal RNA", at positions 28 to 507 of the family's 1533-position model. The record is from RNAcentral.